RNA transcript from Dioscorea cayenensis subsp. rotundata (Guinea yam), 1521 nucleotides. It is a transcript of the gene named nuclear pore complex protein NUP205-like, with no coding region annotated. The record is from RefSeq and is a predicted model, not a curated record. Lineage: Eukaryota; Viridiplantae; Streptophyta; Magnoliopsida; Dioscoreales; Dioscoreaceae. The transcript has 8 exons.
UUCUUUUUUUUCUUCUUCUUCUUCUCUCCCCUGUAAAACCCUAACCCUAAUCUCUCUUCUUCUUCACCAUCACCCUUCACCAUGGACGCUGCUCCUCGAUCUCCCGACCCAGGCUCCAACUCUCUUGCUCACCAACCCUAAUCCCACAACCCUCAUUGAAGCUUCCUCACCGUUGGCAUCAUCUCCUUCCUUUUUUUUUGGAUCUCGUUAUUCGCUUCUCUCUUCUUUGAAGCCUCGAAUCCCUCUCCAUUUGGUGAGUGAGCGAGAGAGAAGGCACCCGAGCUUCAUUUGGUUUUGGUUUCCAUGAUCGAUUAGGGUUGGGUGUGGAGAUUGGUUAAUUUCUAGGCAGCACCAAAGGAUUUGAUCUUUGCUUGCAUCUCCGAGUGGCCUUUUCUGGUUGACUGGCCUCUCAGGCUCCAAAUCCUUCUUAUUAGUCACUGAGAAUUCUACAAUAUAAAUUGGUUAAAGAAAAGUGGAAGAAAUUGCACGUUCUCUACAAGAUCGUAUACGCCAUAGAUUGGAGCUUGAGAUCCAAUAAAAUCAGGAAGAUGUGAAUCGGCAUGUUAGAGAAGGUAGGAUCAUGAAAUAAAGUGGGAAAUACAAUAAGCAAGUUUAGAUCUCUCACCUUAAAAGUGGACGAGCGGAUUAUAAUUUUGAAGUGUGAUUGGAAGUGCUGCUGCUGCUGUUAUUUUCAAAUACAGGAAUGCUGUUGAUUUGGCUUUGUUCAAAAACUGGUUGAAGAAUAUGCAAAGUGAAACAAGAAUUUUAUCUGGUGGGGAGAUAAGUUUGAGACAAGUGCUCAUCCAGGGUGUGGAUAUGCUUGGAAGAGGUGCUGGAUUUUUAAAAUUUAAAGCAGAUGUCAUUGGCAAGGAGACAGGAACGAAGUUAUUCUCUACAAUAUAAAUUGGUUCAAGAGAAGCGGGAGAAAUUGCACGUUCUCUACAAGGUUAAGAAUAAAAUUCUUCGUGAUAUUAUUGAUUUUGUCAAGAGACACCAGUCAUUCUUUGAUCAAAUUAUGAGAGAGGAUUUAUCAAGAUCUGAUACAAAACAUUUGGAAUGCGUCAGUCUUGUGGUUUCUAUACUCUGCAAGAUUUUGAGGCGUCCUGGUUAGUCCAACCAUCAGAGUCCCGAGAGGUAUGAAUCAUAUUUAUAUUUGGAGCUAUUGCUUAAAGAAAUGAAUUUUCACUGUGUGAAUGUUUCUAUAGUUAGUAAUCCAUUUCAAUAUCAUCAGAACCAGAAGAGCUCUGAAUUGAUCAUCUUUCAACUUUGCUUUUAGCUUGAGCUCUUACCUUUACUUUUUUAUCACAAAAUAGGGACUGAGGUUGCAAGUCAGUAAAACUACUACAGUCUGAAAGAUUUUCUUUUAACAAUGCAUUUGCAUACUACUAAGGAUUUUAUUAACAAAUAUUAAUUUAUCUAGAAUUCUAGAUACCUGCAAGGAAUACGAUAUAAUUGUUGAAACAACAUGCGCUGUUUAUAGUAUAGUUUGGGGUUCGCUUUUGUUAUGAAGAUUAUUGUAUA